RNAcentral lists this ribosomal RNA (735 nucleotides) under uncultured bacterium. Its description in RNAcentral is "bacterial SSU rRNA". It matches the Rfam family "Bacterial small subunit ribosomal RNA", at positions 28 to 776 of the family's 1533-position model. The record is from RNAcentral.
GACGAACGCUGGCGGCGCGCCUAACACAUGCAAGUCGAACGAGAGAGAGGAAGCUUGCUUCCUUAAUCGAGUGGCGAACGGGUGAGUAACGCGUGAGGAACCUGCCUCAAAGAGGGGGACAACAGUUGGAAACGACUGCUAAUACCGCAUAAGCCCACAGAACCGCAUGGUUCUGGGGGAAAAGGAGCAAUUCGCUUUGGGAUGGACUCGCGUCCGAUUAGCUGGAUGGUGAGGUAACGGCCCACCAUGGCAACGAUCGGUAGCCGGACUGAGAGGUUGAUCGGCCACAUUGGGACUGAGGCACGGCCCAGACUCCUACGGGAGGCAGCAGUGGGGAAUAUUGCACAAUGGGGGAAACCCUGAUGCAGCGACGCCGCGUGGAGGAAGAAGGCCUUCGGGUUGUAAACUCCUGUCGUAAGGGACGAUAGUGACGGUACCUUACAAGAAAGCCACGGCUAACUACGUGCCAGCAGCCGCGGUAAAACGUAGGUGGCAAGCGUUGUCCGGAAUUACUGGGUGUAAAGGGAGCGCAGGCGGGUCUGCAAGUUGGAAGUGAAACCCAUGGGCUCAACCCAUGAACUGCUUUCAAAACUGCGGAUCUUGAGUGGUGUAGAGGUAGGCGGAAUUCCCGGUGUAGCGGUGGAAUGCGUAGAUAUCGGGAGGAACACCAGUGGCGAAGGCGGCCUACUGGGCACUAACUGACGCUGAGGCUCGAAAGCAUGGGUAGCAAACAGG